GAUUGAACGCUGGCGGCAGGCCUAACACAUGCAAGUCGAGCGGAUGAAGGGAGCUUGCUCCUGGAUUCAGCGGCGGACGGGUGAGUAAUGCCUAGGAAUCUGCCUGGUAGUGGGGGAUAACGUCCGGAAACGGGCGCUAAUACCGCAUACGUCCUGAGGGAGAAAGUGGGGGAUCUUCGGACCUCACGCUAUCAGAUGAGCCUAGGUCGGAUUAGCUAGUUGGUGGGGUAAAGGCCUACCAAGGCGACGAUCCGUAACUGGUCUGAGAGGAUGAUCAGUCACACUGGAACUGAGACACGGUCCAGACUCCUACGGGAGGCAGCAGUGGGGAAUAUUGGACAAUGGGCGAAAGCCUGAUCCAGCCAUGCCGCGUGUGUGAAGAAGGUCUUCGGAUUGUAAAGCACUUUAAGUUGGGAGGAAGGGCAGUAAGUUAAUACCUUGCUGUUUUGACGUUACCAACAGAAUAAGCACCGGCUAACUUC
Molecule: ribosomal RNA, 482 nt
Filed under: Pseudomonas sp. GZN
Lineage: Bacteria; Pseudomonadati; Pseudomonadota; Gammaproteobacteria; Pseudomonadales; Pseudomonadaceae
Description: bacterial SSU rRNA
Rfam family: Bacterial small subunit ribosomal RNA
Source: RNAcentral